AGUGAACGCUGGCGGUAGGCCUAACACAUGCCAGUCGAACGGCAGCACAGUAAGAGCUUGCUCUUACGGGUGGCGAGUGGCGGACGGGUGAGGAAUACAUCGGAAUCUACUUUUUCGUGGGGGAUAACGUAGGGAAACUUACGCUAAUACCGCAUACGACCUACGGGUGAAAGCAUGGGAUCUUCGGACCUUGCGCGGUUGAAUGAGCCGAUGUCGGAUUAGCUAGUUGGCCGGGUAAAGGCCCACCCAGGGGACGAUCCGUAGCUGGUCUGAGUGGAUGGUCGGCCACCUUGGAACUGAGACACGGUCCAGACUCCUACGGGAGGCAGCAGUGGGGAAUAUUGGACAAUGGGCGCAAGCCUGAUCCAGCCAUACCGCGUGGGUGAAGAAGGCCUUCGGGUUGUAAAGCCCUUUUGUUGGGAAAGAAAAGCAGCAGGUUAAUACCCCGCUGUUCUGACGGUACCCAAUGAAGAAGCACCGGCUAACUACGUG
RNAcentral lists this ribosomal RNA (492 nucleotides) under uncultured bacterium. Its description in RNAcentral is "partial 16S ribosomal RNA". It matches the Rfam family "Bacterial small subunit ribosomal RNA", at positions 29 to 507 of the family's 1533-position model. The record is from RNAcentral.